AACGAACGCUGCGGCGCGUCUUAAGCAUGCAAGUCGACCGGUAAGGAGAGCUUGCUCUCCCCCUAGAGUGGCGGACUGGUGAGUAACGCGUGGUUGACCUUGCCCCUGAAGAUGGGGAUAGCUAGUAGAAAUAUUAGAUAAUACCGAAUAAGCUCAUUUACAUAAAGGUAGAUGAGGAAAGGAGCUACGGCUCCGCUUUAGGAUGGGCCCGCGUCCCAUUAGCUGGUUGGUGAGGUAAAGGCUCACCAAGGCAACGAUGGGUAUCCGGCCUGAGAGGGUGAACGGACACAUUGGGACUGAGAUACGGCCCAAACUCCUACGGGAGGCAGCAGCUAAGAAUCUUCCGCAAUGGACGAAAGUCUGACGGAGCGACGCCGUGUGAAUGAAGAAGGCCGAAAGGUUGUAAAAUUCUUUUGCAGAUGAAGAAUAAGAAGAAGAGGGAAUGCUUCUUUGAUGACGGUAGUCAUGCGAAUAAGCCC
RNAcentral lists this ribosomal RNA (479 nucleotides) under Treponema denticola. RNAcentral describes it as "bacterial SSU rRNA". It matches the Rfam family "Bacterial small subunit ribosomal RNA", at positions 29 to 493 of the family's 1533-position model. Lineage: Bacteria; Pseudomonadati; Spirochaetota; Spirochaetia; Treponematales; Treponemataceae. The record is from RNAcentral.